Molecule: ribosomal RNA, 851 nt
Filed under: uncultured archaeon
Lineage: Archaea
Description: bacterial SSU rRNA
Rfam family: Archaeal small subunit ribosomal RNA
Source: RNAcentral
GUAACACCGGCAGCCCGAGUGGUGAUCACUAUUAUUGGGUCUAAAGGGUCCGUAGCCGGUUUAAUCAGUCUUCUGGGAAAUCUAAUCGCUUAACUAUUAGGCUUCCAGGGGAUACUGUUAGACUUGGGACCGGGAGAGGUAAGAGGUACUGCAGGGGUAGGAGUGAAAUCUUGUAAUCCCUGUGAGACCACCAGUGGCGAAGGCGUCUUACCAGAACGGGUCCGACGGUGAGGGACGAAAGCUGGGGGCACGAACCGGAUUAGAUACCCGGGUAGUCCCAGCUGUAAACGAUGCUCGUUAGGUGUCAGGAACGGUGCGACUGUUUCUGGUGCCGAAGGGAAGCCGUGAAACGAGCCACCUGGGAAGUACGGCCGCAAGGCUGAAACUUAAAGGAAUUGGCGGGGGAGCACUACAACGGGUGGAGCCUGCGGUUUAAUUGGACUCAACGCCGGAAAACUCACCGGGGGCGACAGCAAUAUGUAGGUCAGGUUAAAGGUCUUACCUGAAUCGCUGAGAGGAGGUGCAUGGCCGUCGUCAGUUCGUACUGUGAAGCAUCCUGUUAAGUCAGACAACGAGCAAGACCCGUGCCCACUGUUACCAGCAUAUCCUUUAUGGAUGAUGGGGACUCUGUGGGGACCGCUGCUGCUAAAGCAGAGGAAGGUGCGGGCUACGGUAGGUCAGUAUGCCCCGAAUCUCCCGGGCUACACGCGGGCUACAAUGGUUGGGACAAUGGGUAUCUACUCCGAAAGGAGUUGGCAAUCUCUUAAACCCAAUCGUAGUUCGAAUUGAGGGCUGUAACUCGCCCUCAUGAAGCUGGAAUCCGUAGUAAUCGCGUUUCAACAUAGCGCGGU